This 76-nucleotide transfer RNA is filed under the name Agrococcus baldri. RNAcentral's name for it is "tRNA_Val_TAC". It matches the Rfam family "tRNA". Rfam says of the family: Transfer RNA (tRNA) molecules are approximately 80 nucleotides in length. Their secondary structure includes four short double-helical elements and three loops (D, anti-codon, and T loops). Further hydrogen bonds mediate the characteristic L-shaped molecular structure. tRNAs have two regions of fundamental functional importance: the anti-codon, which is responsible for specific mRNA codon recognition, and the 3' end, to which the tRNAs corresponding amino acid is attached (by aminoacyl-tRNA synthetases). tRNAs cope with the degeneracy of the genetic code in two manners: having more than one tRNA (with a specific anti-codon) for a particular amino acid; and 'wobble' base-pairing, i.e. permitting non-standard base-pairing at the 3rd anti-codon position. Lineage: Bacteria; Bacillati; Actinomycetota; Actinomycetes; Micrococcales; Microbacteriaceae. RNAcentral also lists the same sequence under 1 other name. The record is from RNAcentral.
GGGCGGUUGGCGCAGCUGGUAGCGCACUUCGUUUACACCGAAGGGGUCGCCGGUUCGAGCCCGGCACCGCCCACCA